RNAcentral lists this long non-coding RNA (353 nucleotides) under Physcomitrium patens. RNAcentral describes it as "long non-coding RNA (PPAT_LNC011774)". The record is from RNAcentral. Lineage: Eukaryota; Viridiplantae; Streptophyta; Bryopsida; Funariales; Funariaceae.
ACAAUCUUGUAUCCACUGACUGUCUUGUUAGAUUAACCCAAUAAAUUUCAUUCACUCCACAUACUCAAUCCUAUAGACACCCUUUUAAUCCUUCAAUCAGAGACAGAACUCGAUUUCAUAAAACUGUCAGGAGUGAUUACACCCACUUCAUUAAAAAUUCCGAUUCACCAUUACAAUACUGACUUCACCAACGAUUGCCUCAGUCUUCUCAAAACUCUAUGAAGAAGAAAAAUCCAAUUCUUCGUCUUUUCUUCCCCGACCCGAAGCAUGAAGCUCCUCUCCAAUCCCUUUGAUCUUCAAAAACCUCUAAUGAAAGAAAACUCGUAACCUUUCCAAGAGCUUGAAGCUAGCUC